CCCUUAGAUGUUCUGGGCUGCACGCGCGCUACACUGAUGCAAUCACCGAGUUUUUCCUGCUCCGAUAGGAUUGGGUAAUCUUUUGAAAUUGCAUCGUGAUGGGGAUAGAUUAUUGCAAUUAUUAGUCUUCAACGAGGAAUUCCUAGUAAGCGUAAAUCAUCAGCUUGCGCUGAUUACGUCCCUGCCCUUUGUACACACCGCCCGUCGCUCCUACCGAUCGAAGAGUUAGGUGAAUUGUUUUGAUCGAUAAGAUUUGACUAUGGUCAACUCUCGUUGUGAAAUUCUGUGAAUCUGACUGUUUAGAGGAAGGAAAAGUCGUAACA
This 323-nucleotide ribosomal RNA is filed under the name uncultured eukaryote. RNAcentral's name for it is "partial 18S ribosomal RNA". It matches the Rfam family "Eukaryotic small subunit ribosomal RNA", at positions 1470 to 1796 of the family's 1831-position model. The record is from RNAcentral.